Molecule: ribosomal RNA, 506 nt
Filed under: uncultured bacterium
Lineage: Bacteria
Description: partial 16S ribosomal RNA
Rfam family: Bacterial small subunit ribosomal RNA
Source: RNAcentral
AGUGAACGCUGGCGGUAGGCCUAACACAUGCAAGUCGAACGGCAGCACAGGAGAGCUUGCUCUCUGGGUGGCGAGUGGCGGACGGGUGAGGAAUACAUCGGAAUCUACUUUUUCGUGGGGGAUAACGUAGGGAAACUUACGCUAAUACCGCAUACGACCUACGGGUGGAAGCAGGGGACCUUCGGGCCUUGCGCGAUUGAAUGAGCCGAUGUCGGAUUAGCGAGUUGGCGGGGGAAAGGCCCACCAAGGCGCCGAUCCGUAGCUUGUCUGAGGGGAUUAUCGGCCACACUGGAACUGAGACACGGUCCAGACUCCUACGGGAGGCAGCAGUGGGGAAUAUUGGACAAUGGGCGCAAGCCUGAUCCAGCCAUACCGCGUGGGUGAAGAAGGCCUUCGGGUUGUAAAGCCCUUUUGUUGGGAAAGAAAUCCAGCUGGCUAAUACCCGGUUGGGAUGACGGUACCCAAAGAAUGAGCACCGGCUAACUUCGUGCCAGCAGCCGCGGUAA